UUUUCUGAGACGGAAAGUCUUCGGGCCUCUUUUGGACCCAUAUUCACCCUAAAUUCGGCCCAAAUGUGAUUUUUGAGUUCCGUAACUCAGAAUUGAAUUCUAAUUACGUCAUUGGCUUCGAAAUAUUAUUUCGAGUCAAAAUAGAUACCAAUUUUGUCCAUAACUCAUCUCUAUAUAUUUUUCACUCCGAAAUCCAAGUUUCGAUGUUCUAAACGUAACCCUAGAUCGGGAGAUUUUUAAUCUUCGAUCGAAUUUUUAAUCAUGAUGUUUCAUCGCAUCAGUCACAUCACCCAUUCAUGAGUCAAGUUUGCUUGUUGAAUAAGUAAAAGUACAAUCAAUUACAUGAUCUCCUAAACCACUCAUCAACUCCUUACACCACCAUGAUUUUGGGGAUCCACUUUGAUCUUCCCCCAAAUCUGAUUUUCCCCUCUAUAAAAGC
RNAcentral lists this long non-coding RNA (439 nucleotides) under Lupinus angustifolius (narrow-leaved blue lupine). Its description in RNAcentral is "long non-coding RNA (LANG_LNC001708)". The record is from RNAcentral. Lineage: Eukaryota; Viridiplantae; Streptophyta; Magnoliopsida; Fabales; Fabaceae.